This 261-nucleotide ribosomal RNA is filed under the name uncultured bacterium. RNAcentral describes it as "partial small subunit ribosomal RNA". It matches the Rfam family "Bacterial small subunit ribosomal RNA", at positions 26 to 285 of the family's 1533-position model. The record is from RNAcentral.
AGAAUCAACGCUGGCGGCGUGCCUAACACAUGCAAGUCGAACGAGAAAGUGGAGCAAUCCAUGAGUAAAGUGGCGACCGGGUGAGUAACACGUGACUAACCUACCUUCAAGUGGGGGAUAACCUCGGGAAACCGGGGCUAAUACCGCAUAACAUCUCUGGAGUGGAAAUUCUGGAGAUCAAAGGAGCAAUUCGCUGGAAGAGGGGGUCGCGGCUGAUUAGCUAGUUGGCGGGGUAAUGGCCCACCAAGGCUUUGAUCGGUA